GUUAAGCGACUAAGCGUACACGGUGGAUGCCCUGGCAGUCAGAGGCGAUGAAGGACGUGCUAAUCUGCGAUAAGCGUCGGUAAGGUGAUAUGAACCGUUAUAACCGGCGAUUUCCGAAUGGGGAAACCCAGUGUGAUUCGUCACACUAUCAUUAACUGAAUCCAUAGGUUAAUGAGGCGAACCGGGGGAACUGAAACAUCUAAGUACCCCGAGGAAAAGAAAUCAACCGAGAUUCCCCCAGUAGCGGCGAGCGAACGGGGAGCAGCCCAGAGCCUGAAUCAGUGUGUGUGUUAGUGGAAGCGUCUGGAAAGGCGCGCGAUACAGGGUGACAGCCCCGUACACAAAAAUGCACAUGCUGUGAGCUCGAUGAGUAGGGCGGGACACGUGGUAUCCUGUCUGAAUAUGGGGGGACCAUCCUCCAAGGCUAAAUACUCCUGACUGACCGAUAGUGAACCAGUACCGUGAGGGAAAGGCGAAAAGAACCCCGGCGAGGGGAGUGAAAAAGAACCUGAAACCGUGUACGUACAAGCAGUGGGAGCACGCUUAGGCGUGUGACUGCGUACCUUUUGUAUAAUGGGUCAGCGACUUAUAUUCUGUAGCAAGGUUAACCGAAUAGGGGAGCCGAAGGGAAACCGAGUCUUAACUGGGCGUUAAGUUGCAGGGUAUAGACCCGAAACCCGGUGAUCUAGCCAUGGGCAGGUUGAAGGUUGGGUAACACUAACUGGAGGACCGAACCGACUAAUGUUGAAAAAUUAGCGGAUGACUUGUGGCUGGGGGUGAAAGGCCAAUCAAACCGGGAGAUAGCUGGUUCUCCCCGAAAGCUAUUUAGGUAGCGCCUCGUGAAUUCAUCUCCGGGGGUAGAGCACUGUUUCGGCAAGGGGGUCAUCCCGACUUACCAACCCGAUGCAAACUGCGAAUACCGGAGAAUGUUAUCACGGGAGACACACGGCGGGUGCUAACGUCCGUCGUGAAGAGGGAAACAACCCAGACCGCCAGCUAAGGUCCCAAAGUCAUGGUUAAGUGGGAAACGAUGUGGGAAGGCCCAGACAGCCAGGAUGUUGGCUUAGAAGCAGCCAUCAUUUAAAGAAAGCGUAAUAGCUCACUGGUCGAGUCGGCCUGCGCGGAAGAUGUAACGGGGCUAAACCAUGCACCGAAGCUGCGGCAGCGACGCUGAUGCGUUGUUGGGUAGGGGAGCGUUCUGUAAGCCUGUGAAGGUGUGCUGUGAGGCAUGCUGGAGGUAUCAGAAGUGCGAAUGCUGACAUAAGUAACGAUAAAGCGGGUGAAAAGCCCGCUCGCCGGAAGACCAAGGGUUCCUGUCCAACGUUAAUCGGGGCAGGGUGAGUCGACCCCUAAGGCGAGGCCGAAAGGCGU
RNAcentral lists this ribosomal RNA (1371 nucleotides) under Escherichia coli. Its description in RNAcentral is "partial 23S ribosomal RNA". It matches the Rfam family "Bacterial large subunit ribosomal RNA", at positions 1 to 1412 of the family's 2925-position model. Lineage: Bacteria; Pseudomonadati; Pseudomonadota; Gammaproteobacteria; Enterobacterales; Enterobacteriaceae. The record is from RNAcentral.